GCCGAUGUGGCACAGUGGUAGUGGUCUCGCUUCAUAGGCGUGCGGUGCGGUGCGGGUUUGCUCCCCGCCAUCGUCG
Molecule: transfer RNA, 76 nt
Filed under: Haemonchus contortus (barber pole worm)
Lineage: Eukaryota; Metazoa; Nematoda; Chromadorea; Rhabditida; Trichostrongylidae
Description: tRNA, Met
Rfam family: tRNA
About the family: Transfer RNA (tRNA) molecules are approximately 80 nucleotides in length.
Source: RNAcentral